UUUUUGAAAUUAAUUUAAAGUCUAACCUGCCCACUGAGUAUUUAAAUGGCCGCAGUAUUCUAACUGUGCAAAGGUAGCAUAAUCAUUAGUCUUUUAAUUAAAGGCUGGAAUGAAUGGUUGAAUGAAAUAUUAACUGUUUCAUAAAAAUUUUUAAUAAAAUUUUAUUUUUUAGUUAAAAAGCUAAAAUAAUGUUAAAAGACGAGAAGACCCUAUAAAUCUUUAUAUUUAUUUAAUUUUAAUUAUAUAGAUAAAUUAAAUUAUAAUUAUUUAAAAUAUUUUAUUGGGGUGAUAUUAAAAUUUAAUAAACUUUUAAUUUAUAAUUUACAUAAAUUAAUGAAUUUUUGAUCCAUAAAUUAUGAUUAAAAAAUUAAGUUACUUUAGGGAUAACAGCGUAAUUUUUUUAGAGAGUUCAUAUUGAUAAAAA
Molecule: ribosomal RNA, 424 nt
Filed under: Megaselia tama
Lineage: Eukaryota; Metazoa; Arthropoda; Insecta; Diptera; Phoridae
Description: partial 16S ribosomal RNA
Source: RNAcentral